UUUCUCUCCAUUAGCUGGCACUCAUCCAUGUCUGCACUUAGAUUUGAUAAAGUGAAUGAUUAGAGACUUGGGGCUGAAGGAGUCUUAACCUAUUCUAAAGCUGUAAAUGGAUAAGAAGCCUGACUCUAUGGCAUAGAAUGUGAGCACCUAGUUGGCCACUUCUGGUAAAUAGAACUGGUGCUGCAGGAUGAAUGG
RNAcentral lists this non-coding RNA (195 nucleotides) under Chelonia mydas (Green sea turtle). Its description in RNAcentral is "Eukaryotic large subunit ribosomal RNA". It matches the Rfam family "Eukaryotic large subunit ribosomal RNA", at positions 967 to 1170 of the family's 3401-position model. The record is from Rfam by way of RNAcentral. Lineage: Eukaryota; Metazoa; Chordata; Testudines; Cheloniidae.